This 497-nucleotide ribosomal RNA is filed under the name uncultured bacterium. Its description in RNAcentral is "partial 16S ribosomal RNA". It matches the Rfam family "Bacterial small subunit ribosomal RNA", at positions 28 to 507 of the family's 1533-position model. The record is from RNAcentral.
GAUGAACGCUGGCGGCGUGCCUAAUACAUGCAAGUCGAGCGAACAGACGAGGAGCUUGCUCCUCUGACGUUAGCGGCGGACGGGUGAGUAACACGUGGAUAACCUACCUAUAAGACUGGGAUAACUUCGGGAAACCGGAGCUAAUACCGGAUAAUAUAUUGAACCGCAUGGUUCAAUAGUGUAAGACGGUUUUGCUGUCACUUAUAGAUGGAUCCGCGCCGCAUUAGCUAGUUGGUAAGGUAACGGCUUACCAAGGCACCGAUUCGGAGCCGACCUGAGAGGGUGAUCGGCCACACUGGAACUGAGACACGGUCCAGACUCCUACGGGAGGCAGCAGUAGGGAAUCUUCCGCAAUGGGCGAAAGCUUGACGGAGCAACGCCGCGUGAGUGAUGAAGGUCUUCGGAUCGUAAAACUCUGUUAUUAGGGAAGAACAAAUGUGUAAGUAACUAUGCACGUCUUGACGGUACCUAAUCAGAAAGCCACGGCUAACUACGUG